Drosophila biarmipes is the source of this 981-nucleotide long non-coding RNA. RefSeq lists it as uncharacterized. The record is from RefSeq and is a predicted model, not a curated record. NCBI's taxonomy places the organism in Eukaryota, Metazoa, Arthropoda, Insecta, Diptera, Drosophilidae. The transcript has 3 exons.
AGUCGACACGAGUCUGCAGAUUUCCCCAAGCGGACUCAAACCACUGCAACUUGUGGUGGAAUAGCUUUAUAAUGCUUGAAAGCCUCGUUUCCUGAAAUAGAUAGGCAAAAAGUAUCGAAACGUCAGCCAGUUUUACAGACUAUUGGAGGAGGAUGCCACGUGCGGUUAUAACAUCUGCCAUUCGGACCUGGCCAUCCGCGCCUGGGCACACUAGUUGGAUCCGCCCAAGACGCCAUUUAUUUGGUGAUUCCCAAAGGCAAUGAUGUAACGUAUCUGGACGACUAACCUGGAGAAGACGCAUCGAACGCAAGAAAGUACAUGUAAAGCUAAAAGCCAGCAGCUUCCACUUUAUUCUUAAGACUUGUUCACCCCUGCUUCCUUUGCAGUUAUAAGAAAUAAUCAACGUUAGAAACACCGUGUUAAAUUUUAAAGGACUUUUGCUAGCUUCACUGAUAUUAAAAAGAAAAUGAUUUCAAUAUUAUUAAAAAUUUUAUUUCCACGCAUAGGAGUUUUUAUAUUUAAAAACACCAAAGAUAUAAUUUUUUUAAACUUUUUUUUCUGAUUAUUUUUACUGGAGCUAUAAAAUAUAGUUGUCAAAUCCGGCUGGUUCCGACUUUAAUAUAAAAUUAAAUAUAAAAGACAUUUAAUGGAGACCAACGAGUAGGUCGCACAUCCUCUAUACAGAAAUUUUGAAUAAAAUAAGUCAUGAAUAAUAAUUAGUUAUGAAUAAAUUAGUCCAGAUAAUUGUAAUACUUUGGCUCAUGGUCAUUAUAAUAUUGACCAUAUAUUAAGUAGUGAGAGGAGUUGAAUAACUCCACACAAAUGUCAGCAGCAGUAGGCGGCGAAAAUCGUAUAGUAAUGGCGCAGCGAAGAGCGAAUAAAGUUUGGAUAUCUUGUUGGAGAGCAAGAGUGUUUGGAGACCAAGGAUGGAGAAAAACAAAGCGAAGAUUUGGCGGGCAAAACGAGAGUUCAGUGUGCAAA